UGGGGAAUAUUGCACAAUGGGCGCAAGCCUGAUGCAGCCAUGCCGCGUGUAUGAAGAAGGCCUUCGGGUUGUAAAGUACUUUCAGUCGGGAGGAAGGUGGUAAGGUUAAUAACCUUAUCAAUUGACGUUACCGACAGAAGAAGCACCGGCUAACUCCGUGCCAGCAGCCGCGGUAAUACGGAGGGUGCAAGCGUUAAUCGGAAUUACUGGGCGUAAAGCGCACGCAGGCGGUCUGUCAAGUCGGAUGUGAAAUCCCCGGGCUCAACCUGGGAACUGCAUUCGAAACUGGCAGGCUAGAGUCUUGUAGAGGGGGGUAGAAUUCCAGGUGUAGCGAUGAAAUGCGUAGAGAUCUGGAGGAUUACCGGUGGCGAAGGCGGCCCCCUGGACAAAGACUGACGCUCAGGUGCGAAAGCGUGGGGAGCAAACAGG
This 429-nucleotide ribosomal RNA is filed under the name Chloroflexota bacterium. RNAcentral describes it as "Chloroflexi bacterium partial 16S ribosomal RNA". It matches the Rfam family "Bacterial small subunit ribosomal RNA", at positions 355 to 776 of the family's 1533-position model. The record is from RNAcentral. Lineage: Bacteria; Bacillati; Chloroflexota.